RNAcentral lists this ribosomal RNA (301 nucleotides) under uncultured bacterium. Its description in RNAcentral is "partial 16S ribosomal RNA". It matches the Rfam family "Bacterial small subunit ribosomal RNA", at positions 509 to 809 of the family's 1533-position model. The record is from RNAcentral.
CAGUCGCCACGGGAAUACGUAGGUGGCAAGCGUUGUCCGGAAUUACUGGGCGUAAAGGGCGCGUAGGCGGACAGUUCAGUCGGGGGUGAAAGCCCGGGGCUCAACCUCGGAAUUGCCUUCGAUACUGGCUGUCUUGAGUAUGAGAGAGGUGUGUGGAACUCCGAGUGUAGAGGUGAAAUUCGUAGAUAUUCGGAAGAACACCAGUGGCGAAGGCGACACACUGGCUCAUUACUGACGCUGAGGCGCGAAAGCGUGGGGAGCAAACAGGAUUAGAUACCCCCGUAGUCCCUGUCUCUUAUAA